GCGCGAUUAGCUCAGCGGGAGAGCACUACCUUGACACGGUAGGGGUCACUGGUUCAAUC
Molecule: transfer RNA, 59 nt
Organism: Streptomyces rubellomurinus
Lineage: Bacteria; Bacillati; Actinomycetota; Actinomycetes; Kitasatosporales; Streptomycetaceae
Rfam family: tRNA
About the family: Transfer RNA (tRNA) molecules are approximately 80 nucleotides in length.
Source: Rfam